Manis javanica (Malayan pangolin) is the source of this 975-nucleotide non-coding RNA. Lineage: Eukaryota; Metazoa; Chordata; Mammalia; Pholidota; Manidae. The record is from RefSeq and is a predicted model, not a curated record.
GUUAGUUUGCAGUGCAGGAUCACUCUUGAAGGAGUUGGAUGAGCCCCCUGGACUGACAGCUCUCCGCUCCUUUUCCAAACUGGAAGGCCCAAACCAGUCACUCCAACAAAGGAAAACAUCUACCAACUAACUCAGGUAUACUGGGUAUUUACACCAAUGACCUAACUAAAGAAAUGCGAUGGACCCUCAGACGAGAUGGAAACAUUCCAUGAAGGAACCCGACGCUCCUCAGGCAAGCUGAACCAACAGAAACAUAGUCCUGGAUGCUCUUGGAAAAACCAACUACAAAACCCACCCCAAAUCAGCAGUUCCGACUGCAGGCGCCUCUGAACUGGAAGAGAUCAGCUGUUUUUCUCAGUUAAACGGAAGGAUACUGGAGUACAGUGCAUGUUACAAAGACUGGCGGCCACAUCACCCCACAUGGGCACCAGUCCAUGUCCCACAGUUUGGGAACCUGCUCUGCAAAACAGCCGCUCAGUAAAUAUUUGUUGAAAUCACUGAAUUCCAAACUCUAGCUACAUCUCCCUGAGCAAGCCCUGGGCCCAAGGCUCGUAAUGCCAGGGCGCUCAAGCCAAGCAUGUAAAGCACUCUUCAGUCCUGAUCGUGGUUCUAUGCUUUCAAACAGGCAGGAGGCAGCACGGCACCUAGGGUGAGCACAGGCUUGCAUCUGAAACUUGCUCCAUCAGGGACUGUGUCUCUCUAAGCCUCAGCACCCUCACCUAUAAACUGGGGAUGCUAAGGCCCAGCUGUGUGGGCAAAUUUGUGAGGGUCAAGUGAGACAAAGCACAGAAGGUGUCUGAUGCCCAGAAGACCCUGAGUACGGGGAAGCAGCCCCCAACACCUUCAGUAUGGGGUGGGGUACAAAGUGGAACACAGGAGGCCUGGGCUUGGGGCACCUGGUUGAACAGGAGGGGAAGGGGGCUGUUCCAGAAUUGGAAGGCCUCCACCCCAUGACCUCAGGGGAACAAGACUGCC